CGCACCUUGCACUCCUUGGUAUUCCGAGGAGUAUGCCUGUUUGAGUCUCAUGGAAUUCUCAACCCCUAAAUUUUGUAAUGAAGUUUAGUGGGCUUGGACUUGGAGGUUGUGUCGGCUUCUAGUCGACUCCUCUGAAAUGCAUUAGCGUGAAUCUUACGGAUCGCCUUCAGUGUGAUAAUUAUCUGCGCUGUGGUGUUGAAGUAUUUAUUAGUUCAUGCUUAUAGUCGUCUCUUACCGAGACAAUUUAUGACAAUCUGAGCUCAAAUCAGGUAGGACUACCCGCUGAACUUAA
This 292-nucleotide unclassified non-coding RNA is filed under the name Irpex laceratus. RNAcentral describes it as "partial contains 5.8S ribosomal RNA, internal transcribed spacer 2, and large subunit ribosomal RNA". Lineage: Eukaryota; Fungi; Basidiomycota; Agaricomycetes; Polyporales; Irpicaceae. The record is from RNAcentral.